AAAAACAAACAAAGGGAUUGAACUUCAACAACUUUCCUAUAAUGUUCUUUUCAUAAUCUUCAUGUUUGAUAAUUCCCUUGACUUAUAUGCGUGUUUUAAACAACACGGAAAAUCAGAAUUAAGCAGUAUUUAUAUUUAGUAUUUUUAUAAAUUUAGAAACACGUCAGAGGGAAUUCCCAGUUUUGAUAAAAUGCGAGAGUUCUCUGAAUUCCGAUAAAUCUAUUUCCGUCAUUUAAGAACUGAAGUGGAGUUUUUCUUAUAUGUUACCGUUAUG
Molecule: long non-coding RNA, 274 nt
Filed under: Mytilus galloprovincialis (Mediterranean mussel)
Lineage: Eukaryota; Metazoa; Mollusca; Bivalvia; Mytilida; Mytilidae
Source: RNAcentral